Molecule: non-coding RNA, 45 nt
Filed under: Schistosoma margrebowiei
Lineage: Eukaryota; Metazoa; Platyhelminthes; Trematoda; Strigeidida; Schistosomatidae
Source: RNAcentral
AUCCAGCUGAAGAGCCCCAAAUAGGACGAAACACACGUUCUGGAU